GUGGGGAAUUUUGGACAAUGGGCGAAAGCCUGAUCCAGCCAUGCCGCGUGCAGGAUGAAGGCCUUCGGGUUGUAAACUGCUUUUGUACGGAACGAAAAGACUCCUUCUAAUAAAGGGGGUCCAUGACGGUACCGUAAGAAUAAGCACCGGCUAACUACGUGCCAGCAGCCGCGGUAAUACGUAGGGUGCAAGCGUUAAUCGGAAUUACUGGGCGUAAAGCGUGCGCAGGCGGUUAUAUAAGACAGAUGUGAAAUCCCCGGGCUCAAACUGGGAACUGCAUGUGUGACUGUAUAGCUAGAGUACGGUAGAGGGGGAUGGAAUUCCGCGUGUAGCAGUGAAAUGCGUAGAUAUGCGGAGGAACACCGAUGGCGAAGGCAAUCCCCUGGACCUGUACUGACGCUCAUGCACGAAAGCGUGGGGAGCAAACAGGAUUAGAAACCCGAGUAGUCC
RNAcentral lists this ribosomal RNA (450 nucleotides) under uncultured bacterium. RNAcentral's name for it is "partial 16S ribosomal RNA". It matches the Rfam family "Bacterial small subunit ribosomal RNA", at positions 354 to 796 of the family's 1533-position model. The record is from RNAcentral.